This 549-nucleotide ribosomal RNA is filed under the name Rhacophorus helenae. Its description in RNAcentral is "partial 16S ribosomal RNA". It matches the Rfam family "Bacterial large subunit ribosomal RNA", at positions 1819 to 2597 of the family's 2925-position model. Lineage: Eukaryota; Metazoa; Chordata; Amphibia; Anura; Rhacophoridae. The record is from RNAcentral.
CGCCUCUUGAUAACUAUAAGAGGUCCAGCCUGCCCAGUGAUAAAUUCAACGGCCGCGGUAUCCUAACCGUGCGAAGGUAGCAUAAUCACUUGUUCUUUAAAUAGGGACUCGUAUCAACGGCAUCACGAGGGUUACACUGUCUCCUCCCUCCAAUCAGUGAAACUGAUCUUCCCGUGAAGAAGCGGGAAUGAAAUAAUAAGACGAGAAGACCCCAUGGAGCUUUAAAUCUAGCAGCAACUCUAUUACAUAAUUCCCCAUAUCUACAGAGUAAUGCAAGUCGGUUUUAGGUUGGGGUGACCGCGGAGUAAAAACUAUCCUCCACGACGAACAGAACUAAAUCUUUAUCUAAGAGUAACCACUCUAAGAAUUAGCACACUAACGAAUCAUGACCCGAUAAUCGAUCAACGGACCAAGUUACCCUGGGGAUAACAGCGCAAUCUGCUUCAAGAGCCCGUAUCGACAAGCAGGCUUACGACCUCGAUGUUGGAUCAGGGUAUCCCAGUGGUGCAGCCGCUACUAACGGUUCGUUUGUUCAACGAUUAAAACCCU